UGUUCCCCCGGCCAGACAGUGCAACCACGGGGGGAAAUGCUCGAGCACGCAGCAAGGAGAGGAGAGGAGGCCAACACCGGCCGCAGCGCCGCCAGAUCCGCCCUCCCUACCGCCGGAUGAGAGCAAAUCGCGCGGGAAGGGCGGUAACCGCACGGGAAGACACCAGCACCGCGCAGUGAAUUAUGGCGGAUAUGCAUCCCAUCCAAGUUGCGUGGGAACAUGGAGACCCAGCGGGCCAUGGAUUUCGUUGCAAGUACUGUGGAGUUAAAAGAAGCAGUGGAGGCGCAACCACGUUCAAGCAACACCUAGCAAAUGUUGGAGGUGGUGUGAAACAUUGCAACCAUAGCUAUUUUUUCUUAUUUUCACUCUUCAAUGUCACAAAUAUAGGGCAUGGUUACCGCGCAAUAUCGCACGGUAACGCGAGAAACCGUGCGGUUACCGAGUUUACCUGCAAGGUUUCAUUCAUCGCGGUUUUUGCGGUAUACACGGUUACCGUGCGGUAACCGUGCCACCGCACUGCCACGGCACGGACAGCAGGAACGCCUAUUGAACAUCUGAAGAUCGACAGGCUCACGGGCGUGGGCUGUCGAACAGCCGUUGGUCGACAUGGCACGCGGUGGCAGGAGGUGGGCCCAAUCGCCCUUCUCUCGUUUGAUAGGCCCUCCUGCCGAAUAGCAGCAUGUCGACGAGCCCCUAUCGACCAUCCUAUGUUCGAUAGGUCCCUAAUUUUGCGAAUUUUCGAAGACGGAGUCCUUGGCACGAACGACUGAUCGACGUCGCCGUCUCCGACAUGACCCCCUUGAACACGUACUCUGCUGAAACCAUGCCCGUAUCUGCCUUCCCAGCACUCAUAGAACCAGAUCUUACCACGAGGAGGUAUACGGUGGAGGGAACAGGGAGCCGGCGGUCGUCAGCAGUGGUGAGAGCGGAGACGGUGGAGGCUGGAGUUGGAGCCAUCAACGCGAGGGAGGCCAGGUGGCAUUUUUAGCCAUCGGAGUUGAAGAAUGAUAAAUGACGUAUGAAUUAUGAGUAAAAUAUAUUUAUGUACUAUAGGGUAGUUAGAGUAUCCACGACAAUGAUGACCUGGAGGUAUCAGUAUGUGUUUAGGCCGACAGUAAGAAAAUGGGAAGCAAACAUAGUUAGCGAGGAGGCAAUUGGUUUGUUAUACUUUCAUGUCCACCAAUAUAUUGUUACAGUGUAAUUUA
Oryza brachyantha (malo sina) is the source of this 1205-nucleotide long non-coding RNA. RefSeq lists it as uncharacterized. The record is from RefSeq and is a predicted model, not a curated record. The transcript is spliced from 5 exons. NCBI's taxonomy places the organism in Eukaryota, Viridiplantae, Streptophyta, Magnoliopsida, Poales, Poaceae.